UGGGAAUUUUGGACAAUUGGGCGAAAGCCUGAUCCAGCAAUGCCGCGUGUGUGAAGAAGGCCUUCGGGUUGUAAAGCACUUUUGUCCGGAAAGAAAUCCUUGGCUCUAAUACAGUCGGGGGAUGACGGUACCGGAAGAAUAAGCACCGGCUAACUACGUGCCAGCAGCCGCGGUAAUACGUAGGGUGCAAGCGUUAAUCGGAAUUACUGGGCGUAAAGCGUGCGCAGGCGGUUUGCUAAGACCGAUGUGAAAUCCCCGGGCUCAACCUGGGAACUGCAUUGGUGACUGGCAGGCUAGAGUAUGGCAGAGGGGGGUAGAAUUCCACGUGUAGCAGUGAAAUGCGUAGAGAUGUGGAGGAAUACCGAUGGCGAAGGCAGCCCCC
This 382-nucleotide ribosomal RNA is filed under the name uncultured bacterium. RNAcentral's name for it is "partial 16S ribosomal RNA". It matches the Rfam family "Bacterial small subunit ribosomal RNA", at positions 356 to 729 of the family's 1533-position model. The record is from RNAcentral.